GACGAACGCUGGCGGCGUGCCUAAUACAUGCAAGUCGUGCGGACCUUUUAAAAGCUUGCUUUUAAAAGGUUAGCGGCGGACGGGUGAGUAACACGUGGGCAACCUGCCUGUAAGACUGGGAUAACGCCGGGAAACCGGGGCUAAUACCGGAUCGUUUUUCGUCCGCAUGGAGGAAAAAGGAAAGGGGGCUUCGGCUGCCACUUACAGAUGGGCCCGCGGCGCAUUAGCUAGUUGGCGGGGUAACGGCCCACCAAGGCAACGAUGCGUAGCCGACCGGCGAGGGUGAUCGGCCACAUUGGGACUGAGACACGGCCCAAACGCCUACGGGAGGCAGCAGUAGGGAAUCUUCCGCAAUGGGCGAAAGUCUGACGGAGCAACGCCGCGGGAGUGAAGAAGGCCUUCGGGUCGGAAAACUCUGUUGCCGGGGAAGAACAAGUGCCGUUCGAACAGGGCGGCGCCUUGACGGUACCCGGCCAGAAAGCCACGGCUAACUACGUG
RNAcentral lists this ribosomal RNA (498 nucleotides) under uncultured bacterium. Its description in RNAcentral is "partial 16S ribosomal RNA". It matches the Rfam family "Bacterial small subunit ribosomal RNA", at positions 28 to 507 of the family's 1533-position model. The record is from RNAcentral.